UAUAUACUCAGCCAUAUUUGACUUCCUUGUAAAAAAAAUUGUAAUCUAAUCAAACGAAGUCAAUAUAACUAUUUUCCAAAUGGCUCAAUUGCCUGUUUCUUCAUCUACAAGAGGUAAACAUGUAUUCGCACCGUAUGCUACUGGUUUCAAAUGUGAUGAAAUUACACUUAAUUGGGGAACCGAAAAUGACCUGGAAAAUGGCCAUUGUUAUGAAAUAUUGUAUAAAGAACAAGGCAAGGGAAAAUUUAUUGCAUACAAGUCAGAGGAAUCAUGUUACCUGAAGAAAAUUUUUGUUGGAAAUUUAAAACCAAACACAGCUUAUGUAUUCAAAGUUAGGAUUGUAAACGAAGAAACCGGUGAGGAAGGCCCAUAUAGUAAAUUGUCUGAUGUUUUGAAGACUUCAGCAUCAAGCAUAGAAAAAAUAAUGGAAUGUUCAUCAAUAAUUAAGGAGGAACCUAUCAUGUUGUAUCGAUUGCCAAUAGAAGAAAGUAAAUACGCCAGAAAUGAUCGUUGGCACACUAGAAAAUUUAC
Molecule: long non-coding RNA, 531 nt
Organism: Mytilus californianus (California mussel)
Lineage: Eukaryota; Metazoa; Mollusca; Bivalvia; Mytilida; Mytilidae
Exons: 3
Source: RefSeq, a predicted model, not a curated record